Neofelis nebulosa (Clouded leopard) is the source of this 298-nucleotide long non-coding RNA. RefSeq lists it as uncharacterized. The record is from RefSeq and is a predicted model, not a curated record. NCBI's taxonomy places the organism in Eukaryota, Metazoa, Chordata, Mammalia, Carnivora, Felidae. The transcript has 2 exons.
UGUUAAUUAGAUUAUUUUAUAUGUCUAUUCAUUAAACAGAUACUUGCUAAGUGUGCCCAGAAUGUGCAAGUCAGUGUGGUAGGUUCUUUCAGGGAUACAGAAAUAAACUGGAUGAAACCAAAGGACUCACAGUCUCUUCUAGGGAAAAAGAAAAAGAUAAAGAUGAAUAGAUGCAAAUAUUGCCCUCCAGUUCUGAGAGUAUGUACCAGCCACUGAGUUCAUGAAGACUGCCUCUGUUCUAUCCUUGAGGUGGGGGGUACUAUUUUUCAGUUGAUAUUGAUGGUUCUUUGAUUAUUCA